Eubalaena glacialis (North Atlantic right whale) is the source of this 581-nucleotide long non-coding RNA. RefSeq lists it as uncharacterized. NCBI's taxonomy places the organism in Eukaryota, Metazoa, Chordata, Mammalia, Artiodactyla, Balaenidae. The record is from RefSeq and is a predicted model, not a curated record. The transcript has 3 exons.
UUUACUGGGGGUCACAGUAAGAGCCAACAUCUUCACAACAGUCUACAAGCUGGAAGUCAGCAAUUCAGUCAUGAAAUGAGGACCUAAAUAAAGGCAGUGGUAAGAAGGACAGAGGAAAGAAGGAUAGAUUCAACGGAAAGACAGGAUCUGCAUCCUCCCUGCUGUCCACCCCCUAGAGCCUGUGCACUGGCUGCUCCUGUCUGCAAGGUUGCUGGGUCGAAACCUCCUCGGAGCUCCCGGGGUCGAAUGUGAAACUGGUCCCAGGCGCGGAGGGCAGGGAGAGACCGAAGGAAAAGGCAGCCCACUCCAGACUGGCGGGUGGCCACUCAGUAAGCAAGGGGACAGGGGUGCGAGCGCUGGUCCGGGAAGAUCCCACAUGCCGUGGAGCAACUAAGCCCGUGCGCGACAACUACUGAGCCUACGCUCUAGAGCCCGCGAGCCACACCUACUGAGCCCGUGUGCCACAACUACUGAAGCCCGCGUGCCUAGAGCCCGUGCUCUGCAACAAGAGAAGCCACCGCAAUGAGAAGCCCGCGCACCACAACGAAGAGUAGCCCCCGCUCACCGCAACUAGAGAAAGC